RNAcentral lists this long non-coding RNA (563 nucleotides) under Lathyrus oleraceus (garden pea). RNAcentral describes it as "Pisum sativum (pea) long non-coding RNA (PSAT_LNC027105)". Lineage: Eukaryota; Viridiplantae; Streptophyta; Magnoliopsida; Fabales; Fabaceae. The record is from RNAcentral.
GAAACCAAACAAAGCACAUUUACAUAUGAACCAAAACAAAAAGUAUACAUUUAUAAAAGUAAAAACAAAGUAAUAUAUAAAUACCCUUAUAGUACAAACAGCAAAUAAGUAGUUAAAUGGAUGCCAAAGUUUCUUAACUUUGUAUUAAAACUUUAAUUUCUAAUGUUUAAAUUAUCAUUUAUAAAAUAAAACAUUUAUUUUGAAAAUAAAAUAAAAAAUAAAAUAAAAAGUAAUAAUAUAAAUAUGACAAAGAUUUUUAUCAUGUUCAUUAAAAGUUUGUUUUAAAAUAAAUUUCUAAUGCCAUUGAUAAAAGCCAUUAUUGAAAAAUAAGGAACACAAAAAUUAAAAAAGGAUUGCAUGCAUUUAUAAGAAAAAGAAUUGAAUGGAAUUACCAGCUACUAGAACACAUAACUAUUAGUUUCCAUCCGUAGGAAUAUUUCACAACAGAAAACCAAAUCAUCUCCUAAAUAAUCCAAAUUUUUAAUGCAUAUUUACACUCACAUAGAAACAAAAAUAUAUAAACAACACAAACUCUUAUUGUUAUAGUACACACAUAAACCAUA